This 665-nucleotide long non-coding RNA is filed under the name Panax ginseng (ginseng). RNAcentral's name for it is "long non-coding RNA (PGIN_LNC001739)". Lineage: Eukaryota; Viridiplantae; Streptophyta; Magnoliopsida; Apiales; Araliaceae. The record is from RNAcentral.
CAUAUCAGUCCCUAAACAAAGCCCAACCAUCACAAACAACAAAUCAGAAGCAUCAAGAAGCCAGAAAUCAAAAAUCAAGCUUGAAAAGGUAGGAAAUCCUAAAUUCUAGAAAUCCUUCGAUUCGAUGUUAAUUGAUGCAAUUGAUUGUUUAAAGUAGUGUAAUAGAGAGUCUAUUAAUGUUCUGGGUUGUAAAAUCAUGAACCCAUAACAUCAAAGUGCACGAAUUUGAAGAUUUAAACAAGUUGGAAAAACCGAAUUCUGUUAUUUUUCACCAAAUGUCAGAGGCUAUAACUCUUUGGUCGAUCUCGAGUUUUGUUGUUUAAAAGUUGUUAUAGGUAGCCUGAUAUGUGGUCUUUAAUCUCCAAAAGGAAUAAAGUUCAUAUCUAUUGUAGAUCGGGAUUUAUAAGCGGUCAAAGUGGGUUGACCGGCAUUGACCGGCUGUUCUUCAAACCCAGAAAAUAUUCUAAGUGUCCAGAAAAUAUUUUUUUGGCAAAUGUCAGGCCUUAUAUCUCGGUUAUCUUUAAUGUGUUUUGUGUUCUAAAGGUUGUUAUGUGUAGCGUGUUAUGUGGUAUUUAACCUCCAAAAAGAAUCAGGUCCAUAUAUAUUAUGGAUUAAGAGUUAUUUAAGGUCAAAGUGGGUUGACCGGCAUUAACCGGAAAAUUCUG